CAAUGUAUCCCCAGGUGCUGUUUAUCUGCAGGGCUCCACAGGCCGCUGAGGGACAGCUGUACUCGGGAAAGACCAGAAGCUUCCCACGGAGAUUGUGUUAAACCGUUGAUGCCACAUUGUACACAGCGUUGUAUACCGGACAUGCUAAAUCGACCAGACAACGAACACAGCCCAUCAGUAGAUAAAAACAGAACAUCAGCCUUGACAACAAGGAAGGGUGCAGUAAUGGCCCAUCAUAUUCCAGAUCAAAAGACUCGAAUUGCCAGCUGAAAUGCAGAGCGGACACAACUUCCUAUUGUUCAGCCCCACACCAGCAACUUAGAUUACACAGAACCAUGCUUCACAGUUAGGUGUUGCUCAUUCAAUCUACUGAUCCUAAAGUUAGGAAUAUUUAAGAGAGAUUUUGGUAUUGUAUCCAAGAGUCAAAAACCAAGAGAUAUGUAACCAGUUUUAUGUUUAUAUUUAAAUAAUGUUGUCCAUAAAACAAUUUGAAUUGUUA
Molecule: long non-coding RNA, 499 nt
Organism: Peromyscus leucopus (white-footed mouse)
Lineage: Eukaryota; Metazoa; Chordata; Mammalia; Rodentia; Cricetidae
Exons: 2
Source: RefSeq, a predicted model, not a curated record